RNAcentral lists this long non-coding RNA (1797 nucleotides) under Homo sapiens (human). RNAcentral describes it as "HSALNT0282743". Lineage: Eukaryota; Metazoa; Chordata; Mammalia; Primates; Hominidae. The record is from RNAcentral.
AGGGUGAAUUUACUCAGAAAGUUGAGGCCAGAGGAUCACUUGAGCCCAGGAGUUCAAGUCCAGCCUGGGCAAUACAGUAAGACCCUGUCUCAAAAAUAAAUAAAUAAAAGGUGAAUUAGAUGGUAUGCGACAUGCAUCUCAAUGAAGUUGCAACGAAAAGAUGGAAGAAGUAAUAGAAUGUCUGUGUGCUAAUAAGAAUGAUCUUGUAGAGAGAGGGGAAAACUGGUGGAACCAUGUCCUCAAGUAGGUGAGAGAGGAUGGGAUGGAGUGCCAAAGGGGAGAGACUGGAUUUUGACGACAGUAGGAGCACCUUAUGUAGUACAGAGAAGAAGGCAGAGUAUGUGGAUACAGAUGCUGUGUGGUGGUUGGAUGUGGUGGUGGGAAUCUGCAGAUGUUUUAUUCCAAUGGUUUCCAUUUUUUCAGUCAAGUAGGAAGCCUGAGUGUAAGGACAGGGGAGGAAAUGUUGAGGAUUUCAGGAGAGAAGUAGGAAACAAUCAUCAUCUAGGAGGGUAGGAUAGAAAAUGCAAUGGAGCAAGUAGAGAGCUGGAUUUAACUGGGCUGAGGCAGUGCCCGAUAAAGUGGAUGGUAAGUACGCUGAAGUGGCAGAGGGCGAAGGGAAGUGAGACUGUCCGCCCAGGAAUGAUUGUAACAGUGGGUCAUGGAAUCUAAGCUGAUUAAAGGAGGGACAUAGGAGCAUGGGGGAAGUGAAAGGGAGUGAAAAUGUUCAGUCCCAGUGGGAUUGAGGGAUUGCUGGAGUUGGAGUACUAGUAGGCGUGAGCUAGAAAAAUAGGAGGUACUGGCUAGAGAACAGGAUGCCUGAAACUGAGAAUAUGAAAACAAUGCAGUCACAGGUACUGACAAGGACAAGGGUCAGACUAUUGGAGUAGGUAGCUGAGGUGGGGUUAAAAGGCAGGAUCAUUGUAGGGUGGCAAAUCACAGAACUGACAGAUGAAAAUAUUGGAAGGAUCAGCUACAAAGAUAUUAAAAUCACCAAGAAUUAGGACUGGACCAGUGUUAAAGAGAAUGACAGUGAGAUCACAGCUAAAUUCAUUUAGAAAUGGUAAUGAUGGGCAGAUAUGGGUGUAUGUCUGUAUAUGAUGAUACAGAGUGGUAGCUGAUGGUAUAUUCUGAUGAUAUGAGAUUUACAACAAGGUUGUUGAUAUUUAUAUAAUCCCAACAUAUUUCAUGAAAGAAAAAAGGGGAACUAUAGUGGAAAAACCUGACAGACACCACCUUAAACAAGGAAUCAAAGUCAACAAAACUGGUAUCAGGACAAAAUGACAUCACAUGCCUCCUGAUAGGAAGCACUGAAGACAUAACUUCUCUUCUGCGGUAUUCUCACCAAAAUUACAUAACUUGAAUAUAAUCACAGUGAAACUUGAGACAAACCCAAAUUCUAUGAAAUAACUGUCCAGGAGUCUUCUAAAUGAUCAAAAUCAUAAAAGACAAAGAAAGACUCAAGAACUGUUCCAUAUUGGAAGAGCCUAAGGAGGCAUGAUAACUAAAUGUAAUGUGGGAGCCUGAACUGAAUCCUUGAAAAGAAAAGUGGCACUAGUGAAAAACUGAUGUAAUCUAAAUAAACCCUGUAGUUUCGUUAAGAGUACAGGCAAUACCUCAUUUUAUUGUGCUGCACUUUACUGCACUUCACAGAUACUGUGUCUUUUACUAAUUGAAGGUUUGUGGCAAAGUUGUAUUGAGUAAAUCUAUUAGUGCCAUUUUUCCAACAGUAUGUGCUCACUUAGUGUCUCUGUCUUACAUUUUGGUAAUUUUCACAUUUCAAAACUUUUCUUAUAUCUG